AAACCAACAGGGAUUGCCCUAGUAACGGCGAGUGAAGCGGCAACAGCUCAAAUUUGAAAUCUGGCCUUCGGGUCCGAGUUGUAAUUUGUAGAGGAUGCUUUUGGCGCGGUGCCUUCCGAGUUCCCUGGAACGGGACGCCUUAGAGGGUGAGAGCCCCGUACGGUUGGACACCAAGCCUCUGUAAAGCUCCUUCGACGAGUCGAGUAGUUUGGGAAUGCUGCUCUAAAUGGGAGGUAAAUUUCUUCUAAAGCUAAAUAUUGGCCAGAGACCGAUAGCGCACAAGUAGAGUGAUCGAAAGAUGAAAAGCACUUUGAAAAGAGGGUUAAAUAGCACGUGAAAUUGUUGAAAGGGAAGCGUUUGCGACCAGACCUUUUCCUAGCGGAUCAUCCGGUGUUCUCACCGGUGCACUUUGCUAGGUUGAGGCCAGCAUCGGUUUUCGUAGGGGGAUAAAAGCUUGGGGAACGUAGCUCCCUCGGGAGUGUUAUAGCCCCUCGCAUAAUACCCUUACGGGGACCGAGGACCGCGCUUCGGCAAGGAUGCUGGCAUAAUGGUCGUCAACGAC
Molecule: ribosomal RNA, 562 nt
Filed under: Xylariaceae sp. BCC 18743
Lineage: Eukaryota; Fungi; Ascomycota; Sordariomycetes; Xylariales; Xylariaceae
Also listed under: 2 other names
Description: eukaryotic LSU rRNA
Rfam family: Eukaryotic large subunit ribosomal RNA
Source: RNAcentral